Molecule: RNA transcript, 643 nt
Organism: Chroicocephalus ridibundus (black-headed gull)
Lineage: Eukaryota; Metazoa; Chordata; Aves; Charadriiformes; Laridae
Exons: 3
Source: RefSeq, a predicted model, not a curated record
GGGUCCCGGCGAGCCGGUGAAGGAGCCCGGCGAAGAGGUGCCGGAGCCGGGGGACGGGGUGCCGGAGGAGCCCAGGGCAGAGCCAGCUCCCUCCGGGGCCGGGCGACUCCCCGCCCGGGACUCCUCAUAUGCCUUCCGAAACAGCAAGAUCCAGAGCAGGAGCAUUCCCCCCGUCCACAGCUCUCCUCCGCAGGCGAGGCAAAGCAUCCAAGCUUUGCAGUGUCUGCUACUGUCCCUGGUGUUCAUUUACCUGUUUUAAAGAGUAAGUUCCUGGGAAAGAUCCCCUGCCUCAACUAAUUCACUGUGUUAUGCUGGAGAAGUGGUACAGAGAUCUCACCAAGAAGUGCAUCCUGUAUUAUAUUACUUUGCCAAAAGAGGUUGCAUCCCAUCGUGAUUUGGAAGAUGCAAAAAAAAAAAAAGUUUCAGUCAUUUAUGUGAGAAAAUCCAAAGGACACAUUUCCACAUGCCCCCUUUCUUCAUGGCCGCUCAGUUCUACCCCAUGGAGCCACAAGAUUUCCGUGAGAACACCUUCUUGAAAGCCCAAUAGCACAUUGCCAAUAGGAAAUGAAGAGGAAGAACGUCUUUCUUCGCAUCGGUGUAAAACCAAUGCUUGUGUGCUUUCAACAGUUCCAUUUACCUCUGU